Molecule: long non-coding RNA, 1232 nt
Filed under: Sus scrofa (pig)
Lineage: Eukaryota; Metazoa; Chordata; Mammalia; Artiodactyla; Suidae
Description: lncRNA (ENSSSCG00050030247.1)
Source: RNAcentral
GGGGCAUAUAGAACUUCCCAGGCUAGGGGUCAAAAUGGAGCUAUGGCUGCUGGCCUAUGCCACAGCCACAGCAAUGUGGGAUCUGAGCCAUGUCUGCAACCUACACCACAGCUUAACCCACUGAGUGAGGCCAGGGAUUGAACCUGCAUCCUCAUGGAUACUAGUCAGUUUCAUUUCUGCUGUGCCACAAUGGGAACUCCCAACAGACCCCUUUUCCAAAUGACAACCCACACAAGUCAGAGGUUAGCAAAUUGCAAGCCCAAGGUUCAAGACAGGUGUUUCUAGGUCCAGAGCCCUGCCCAGCAUUAAAAACAAAGGACAGUCUGACCCCAGGGAAUGUGUCAAACCCUCUGGCACUUGGGCCACCCAAGGAGACUAGAAAGGCCCAUCACACUUGAAGGCAUAGGUGUGUCCUGUGCCUGAGGUGAGGCAGUUGGUGGGAGGUUGGGGGAGUUAGAGUCGCUUGUAAACAACAUCACAACUCUAGGCAGAUCCAGUUAGUUCCAUCUUCAACCCAGUAUCUGAGUCUGGAGGUAUGGCCGGGGAGGGGCAGGUGGGAUCUGUACCUUCUUUCACAAUAAGGUGAACAAGCAAAUACCUUUAAGGGGUGGGUAUUUCUCUCUCCAGAUUAAAAAAAAAAAUGACUCACACUCUUCUCUAUCUACUACACCAGACAUAGUAAAAGAAGCAAACCCAAGCCAAACAGGUGACAAGAAUUAAAUGAAACAGCAUCCUGCUCUUCAUUUCUGUGUCUUGGCUUGAGGCUCCCUGAGCUGUCUGAAAGUGACCCAGAGAUGACAAGGUCCUUCCUAUCAGGGGCCAGAGGUCUCUCUCAGACUCUCCUGUGACUCUCCCUCCUCCUCCCUGCCCAUCACCACUACCCCAUGUCGUCCGGCUGAUCCCACUUCAGUUCAGCUCACCACCUGUAAAUACAUCUGGCUGCCUGAAUACAUGCAACCUAUUUCUCGCCAUCGUUCAUUUUCGUGGGUUACUUGUAGCAAGCCAUGGCUCAGUUAGGAAAAAGAUAGGAAACAUAGGGAGGAAUUUGAGACUUAGACCCAGGAAAGAGCACAUCCUGCACAGCCAAAAAUGCCGCUUCUACACCUCUCCAUUCAUGUCCUCAAGCACUGCUUUCCAGGUGCCACCCCCAACCAAAGCCCCAUUCUCUAAACCAGAUAUGCCCAAUGCUCAAGACAAGUACCUGUGGAUUCAGGGUUAUACUGCUGGAGAAA